CGGUAAACCAAGAGAUUAAGUUAUAUUUUGAGGUAAAAAGACAGUUAGGCUUAAAUAAUUUUAGUUUAUUAAUCAUUUAUAAAAAGGUAAAAUUUGUAUAUAAGUAGUUAAUUUAGUUAUAACUUACUCGCUGAAGCUGUGAUAGUCUUGAGGGAAACUGGGAUUAGAUACCCCAUUAUUCUUGACUGUAAAUCUAAUUAAAUUUACCAGAGUACUAUGAAUAAUUCAUAAAAAUUUAAAACUCAAAGGGCUUGGCGGUGUUUUAGACCUAUCAGGGGAACCUGUCUCAUAAUCGACAAUCCACGAUAUACCUGACCCUAUUUUGCACCCAGUUUGUAUACCGUCGUCGUCAGGUAACUUUUAAAAAUUCAGAAGUUAGCAAUAAAAAUUUUAUAAAUUUAAACGUCAGAUCAAGGUGCAGCUAAUAAAAGGGAGAGGAUGGGUUACAAUUAUUUUACUUAUAAUUACGAAAAACUACAUGAAAACAUAGUUGGAAGGAGGACUUGAAAGUAAAAUAAAAUAUAUAAGCAAUUUGAAUAGGGCUCUG
This 547-nucleotide ribosomal RNA is filed under the name Buccinastrum deforme. RNAcentral's name for it is "partial 12S ribosomal RNA". The record is from RNAcentral. Lineage: Eukaryota; Metazoa; Mollusca; Gastropoda; Neogastropoda; Buccinanopsidae.